RNAcentral lists this unclassified non-coding RNA (310 nucleotides) under Melitaea cinxia (Glanville fritillary). Its description in RNAcentral is "misc RNA ENSMCXG00005020882.1". The record is from RNAcentral. Lineage: Eukaryota; Metazoa; Arthropoda; Insecta; Lepidoptera; Nymphalidae.
GGAUGCUCUGUGCUGGUAAUUCAACAGUGAAAGUCUGCCACUUUAAUACCGUAUAAAUAUUUAACACUUGUACUCUCAUGACACCAAUAUUCUUAGCAGAGCAUUUACCCUAAACAUAAAAUCAUAGACUCACUCUGACAUUGGCAAAUCCUCACGGAAGCCAUUAUACAAGAAGAAGAAGAAGAGUUUUACAAAUGUCCGUAAGCUAAUGUGUUGUGAAAAUGAGUGAUACAUGCGGAAAAAAACGUGAAUUACGAUUGACAGGGGUUUGUUUACCAAAUAAGACUCUUCCAAAAAAACGGAAUAUACA